This is a long non-coding RNA of Ornithodoros turicata, 1894 nucleotides long. RefSeq lists it as uncharacterized. NCBI's taxonomy places the organism in Eukaryota, Metazoa, Arthropoda, Arachnida, Ixodida, Argasidae. The transcript is spliced from 2 exons. The record is from RefSeq and is a predicted model, not a curated record.
UACUCUCGCGCAUUAAAAUCAUCUCGUUCCCAACAGAUUGACUGUUCCUUGUUCGUUCGUCAUAUAUGAGUCGACAGGAUAAAACCUGAAACCACGAAUAUGCCUCCCAAGCAUCAACGGCUCGUUAUUUCCAAAAACAACGGCGGAGUCAACAAUGUACCGACACAGAAUGGCUCCGUCUCUCUGAAUCCAAGACUGACUCCUUCAAUUGGACACAAGAAGAUAAAGUACGGCGUUUCAGGUCGUUGAAUUGGCAAACAGGUCCGCGGAGCUGUGCAACCCAUCGCCGAUGACAAUCUCGACGAAGGAAGCGUGUGACAACGGCGACAGAUCCCGACAUGAGCCUCUCAGGGAGGAGCAAAAGGGUCGUGCAUUGAGAGACCCUCUUAUUGACAGUGCCUGUAACAAACUUGUCAUGGAGGGAGAGGCUGCUUUCAGACGGGGCUGCUUUGUACAGAGGCGCAGCCACAUUAUCGUUCACACAUUAUCUUUCAUUUCAUCUCUACGAUGGGACACGUCGCAGGUUGCAAGCGCUUAGUAGCUGUAUGCAGCUUAGAACUCCGAAAGGUAAUUUUUCUAUGUCAAACACGACACAGACACGACACAUAACAGAACAUUUAACGGCGGAGAUACGAGAUGGAGGCAGCAUUUUCUUGAAUCCGCAAAAUAGAGAUACAAGAGAGGAGGAUAACGUGAGACUCAAUAUCGUUUUAUCAGUGGACGACAGACAUCCUUCAGAACAUAAUUCGUGCUCGCACCUUACGUGGAAAUCUACAUCCAAUUGUUAUUAUUACAGUUUGUGCUAAUGUAUAGCCUUACCGCUGUUCCAUCUUUGUCUAUUUUUUAGCGAAUAACGCGUAUUUUAUCAAACAUGAGCUAUGAAAUUUAGCGGGAGUCACGGGGCUACCGAAAAAGAGGAGGAGGUGGAAAUAUCUAAUAGUAAUUGGGAGUAGAUUUGCACGUAAUGUGAGUCCGCCCACAAUUGUGUGUUUAUUGACGAAAAAUUAUUGUGGAAAAAGACGAUUGCACUGUUCUUGCAAUGGCAAAGCUUUGUCAACAGCAGAAAGUCUGUAGUAUACUCGGGCCUCUCGCUGUUGUGCAUUAACACACGUCUUAGAAAACAUGAAAACGAAGCGAUAAAUUUUAUUGCUGCACGUGAGCUAGGGCUGUUUCACAUUAACGUUCUUCUCAUCCGUGUGCUGUCCGUUCUUUUAAAUUACAGCACACGGACUCACUAUUCACACAUUCUUCUUCUGUUUUUUUUUUCAUGAACCGUGUGUCCGUCCCGACAAACUCCCCGCUUGAAGCGUUUUUCUGGAAGGGAGACGCAGUUGUGUGGAUGGAAGCGGAACGUACACACGGAUGGUCAUUGACUGGACUCAUUCAUUAAUUGGACCCUGCUUGUUCUUGUUAUUCCUCUUGGUAAUCUUGGGGUAGCAUUUGUCCUGUAUUUCUACUUUCUUUUCUAUUCGCUGUUCUGGAGUAGCCUGUCCAGACUUUGUCGGUGCUCACAUGUGCAUAUUUUUUAUUUUUCGAUCGAUCGAUCAAUCAAUCAAUCAAUCACACAAAUGCGACAAUUUUUGCGUCCGUUUUUUACCGACGUAAAAAGCGCCACGUUCGUGUAAAUGAGCCAUUAUAUCAGCACCUAGCUCUUGCAAUAGCUGCUCCCCUUGUUCUAAAAACACAAGAACUCUUGCCGAUCGUAAACAGGAACCAACACGAACGUUCCCGCAUCUUCCUGGAAUCUACCUCCACGGCUACCAUCCUAUGUGUGGCGAGUCCGCCCUCCAUUGUUAUCGUUCCCCGUCUUGUUGACCUUCUAAGCCGUACCUACGUGCCCUUCGAUUUUUUUUGUAGGUGUGUUAACAUCGGAAUAAAUGUUUCAUUACUGGUU